GGAUGUGAGGGGGAUCUGGCUAUUGCCUCUGUCACCCCAUUGGUCACCUGGGUUGAUUUAGCUGAUCUGGCCUCCGGGGCAGGUGUGCCUUCCUCCCCCAGUAGUCCAGGUGCCGUCCCUCCGAAAGCUGCUUGCUUGGUUGAAGAAGACAAUCUUCUCCACGUGGAACAAAGAAAGGUGAAGGGAAUAAAAUAUGCAGGGAAUCAAUUAGUUCCAAGGCCCAAAGGUACAAUGAACUCUAGUCUCCAU
This 249-nucleotide small RNA is filed under the name Echinops telfairi (small Madagascar hedgehog). Its description in RNAcentral is "7SK RNA (ENSETEG00000024151.1)". The stretch from base 1 to 194 matches the Rfam family "7SK RNA". From Rfam's summary of the family: 7SK was discovered as an abundant small nuclear RNA in the mid-70s but a possible function has only recently been suggested. Two independent studies have found that 7SK RNA binds the CDK9/cyclin T complex (known as elongation factor P-TEFb). P-TEFb activates transcription by phosphorylating the C-terminal domain of RNA polymerase II. Lineage: Eukaryota; Metazoa; Chordata; Mammalia; Afrosoricida; Tenrecidae. The record is from RNAcentral.